Molecule: ribosomal RNA, 252 nt
Filed under: uncultured bacterium
Lineage: Bacteria
Description: partial 16S ribosomal RNA
Rfam family: Bacterial small subunit ribosomal RNA
Source: RNAcentral
UACGGAGGAUCCGAGCGUUAUCCGGAUUUAUUGGGCUUAAAGGGUGCGUAGGCGGCCUAUUAAGUCAGGGGUGAAAGACGGUAGCUUAACUAUCGCAGUGCCUUUGAUACUGAUAGGCUUGAAUGUACUUGAGGUAGGCGGAAUGUGACAAGUAGCGGUGAAAUGCAUAGAUAUGUCACAGAAACCCAAUUGCGAAGCCAGCUUAUUAAAGUAUGAUUGACGCUGAGGCCCGAAAGCGUGGGAUCAAACAGG